CCUACGGGAGGCAGCAGUAGGGAAUAUUGCUCAAUGGGGGAAACCCUGAAGCAGCAACGCCGCGUGGAGGAUGACGGCUUUCGGAUUGUAAACUCCUUUUGUUAGAGAAGAUAAUGACGGUAUCUAACGAAUAAGCACUGGCUAACUCCGUGCCAGCAGCCGCGGUAAUACGGCGGGUGCAAGCGUUACUCGGAAUCACUGGGCGUAAAGAGGGCGUAGGCGGGAUAGCAAGUCAGAUGUGAAAUCCUAUGGCUUAACCAUAGAACUGCAUUUGAAACUGUUAUUCUAGAGUAUGGGAGAGGUAGGUGGAAUUCUUGGUGUAGGGGUAAAAUCCGUAGAGAUCAAGAAGAAUACUCAUUGCGAAGGCGACCUGCUAGAACAUAACUGACGCUGAUGCGCGAAAGCGUGGGGAGCAAACAGGAUUAGAUACCCGGGUAGUC
RNAcentral lists this ribosomal RNA (440 nucleotides) under uncultured bacterium. RNAcentral describes it as "partial 16S ribosomal RNA". It matches the Rfam family "Bacterial small subunit ribosomal RNA", at positions 338 to 795 of the family's 1533-position model. The record is from RNAcentral.